Molecule: long non-coding RNA, 1037 nt
Organism: Malurus melanocephalus (red-backed fairy wren)
Lineage: Eukaryota; Metazoa; Chordata; Aves; Passeriformes; Maluridae
Exons: 3
Source: RefSeq, a predicted model, not a curated record
UCCUGCAAAAAUUUUACUUCAUGCAAAUCCUAAAUCUCCUUUCAGGAUUUCGUUGUUAUUGUUCUGGAGGCGCCUGGGGCGCUUUGUCCUGAGGCAGAGCUGGCUCGGAGGGAAGGGAAGGGAGCGGGAGCAGCCGCGUGUGGCAGAGCAUCAUCUCCGGUCCUGGGCGUCCCUCUAGAGGUGAAACAGCAGCGCUUAAACACGRAGACACGGCCGGGCUGGCAAGCAGGGAUAGGAGUGUGAGCUCUCAGCAACUGUCCCGUAUCCGAGCAGGUCUCACUCGGCUGCUACAAACUCCGGGUUGCAGYAGGCAUCGACUGGCACCGACAUGAGCUGCCCGGAGCUGAGCACGGGCUCUGCUGCUGCACCCGGCCCUGCCUCGCCCGCAGCUCCUUMAGCCCCGAGGCGGAAGAUUUCAAUGUACGAGCUCCAUGCCACCACAUGCCACUGUCCCUGACCAAUCAUCUCCAGUCACAAAUUCACACCAACAUUGCUGAGGCCAAGAACCAACAGAAGAAAACUAGGGAAAGAAAAAGCAACUCAAACACAUAAAUAUAUGCAUCAGCUCCUGAGAUACAGAUCUAACCUCCCAGCAACUACAAAGAGAAGCCAGAUCACCCACAAUGUCUGAAACUGUGUUAGGACUAUAAUCUGUGAAUUACAGGUCCAUAAAUUGUAAUACUUCUGCAGCAUCCUCUUUAGAAGAUUCCACAAAAAAAAUGUUACAAGCAUUUUAGUCCAGAUUUCACAGGUUACAUUCUAGUCUGUUUUGGAUGUAGUUCAGGAUAAUAAUUUUUCUUGGUGAGUUCCAAGAAUAACGGUGUUUCUUGCUACUUGGCACCUUUUCAAAGCACAGACAGCAGCUCUCACAGCCAAUUUCACUCCCCCCUGAGACACAUAUUUGCUUAAGUAAUCCAGGGUCAUUUACAGAAUGAGGAUACCAACUGCAAAAUGGUUCUGUAACAUUUAAUUCUGCUAUUUUCUCAGGUUCUAUAUACUACGCAUACUUCACGUGUCUUGCUAAUGAAAAUGUAACU